AGUUGCUCCGGCGGCGCGCGGGAAGGGAGCCAGCAGCCUAGGGCCCAGGCCCGGGCCACCAUGGCGCUGCCUCCGGGCCCAGCCGCCCUCCGGCACACACUGCUGCUCCUGCCAGCCCUUCUGAGCUCAGCUGCAGGAGGCCAGCACCUCAAGACUGCUGAGCGUGGGAGGGGAGGCCUUCUCUGGAGGCACCAGCACCUUCACUGUCACUGCCCAUCGGGCCCAGCAUGAGCUCAACUGCUCCCUGCAGGACCCCAGCAGUGGCCGAUCAGCCAACGCCUCUGUCAUCCUUAAUGUGCAAUGUGAGUGGCCCUGAGGUGGGCAGGGAGAGAGGUUCUUUGCCCAGGGACCCCCAGCACCCACCAGGCAGGUGGUCUGCAGGACAUUUAGCAGACACUUAAGCACUUUGCAAAUAUGAACUCAUUUGAUCCUCUGAGUAACCCCAUGAGGUCAUUACUAUUGUCGUCACCAUUUUACAAAUAAGAAAACUGAGGCAGAAAGAGGUAAGCAAUCUGCCCAGGGUGAUGAUCCCGCUGGUAAGAAGCA
RNAcentral lists this small RNA (546 nucleotides) under Pan troglodytes (chimpanzee). RNAcentral describes it as "processed transcript". Lineage: Eukaryota; Metazoa; Chordata; Mammalia; Primates; Hominidae. The record is from RNAcentral.